AUACGGAGGAUCCGAGCGUUAUCCGGAUUUACUGGGCGUAAAGGGUGCGUAGGUGGUCUUUCAAGUCGGUGGUUAAAGGCUACGGCUCAACCGUAUUAAGCCGCCGAGACUGGAAGACUUGAGUGCAGGAGAGGAAAGUGGAAUUCUCAGUGUAGCGGUGAAAUGCGUAGAUAUUGAGAAGAACACCAGUAGCGAAGGCGGCUUUCUGGACUGUAACUGACACUGAGGCACGAAAGCGUGGGUAGCAAACAGGAUUAGAUACCCUGGUAGUCCACGCCGUAAACGAUGAGUAUUAGGUGUCGGGGGUUACCCCCCUCGGUGCCGCAGUUAACGCAUUAAAUACUCCGCCUGGGGAGUACGCACGCAAGUGUGAAACUUAAAGGAAUUGACGGGG
RNAcentral lists this ribosomal RNA (394 nucleotides) under uncultured bacterium. Its description in RNAcentral is "partial 16S ribosomal RNA". It matches the Rfam family "Bacterial small subunit ribosomal RNA", at positions 523 to 918 of the family's 1533-position model. The record is from RNAcentral.